This is a small nuclear RNA of Dipodomys ordii (Ord's kangaroo rat), 100 nucleotides long. The record is from Ensembl. NCBI's taxonomy places the organism in Eukaryota, Metazoa, Chordata, Mammalia, Rodentia, Heteromyidae.
GUGAGAACAGUGCACAUAUACUGAAAUUGGAAUGGUACAGAGAUUAGCAUGGCUCCUGCAAAAACAGGACAUGCGCAUUUAUGAGGCAUUAUAUAUUUUU